Molecule: transfer RNA, 68 nt
Filed under: Morus notabilis
Lineage: Eukaryota; Viridiplantae; Streptophyta; Magnoliopsida; Rosales; Moraceae
Rfam family: tRNA
About the family: Transfer RNA (tRNA) molecules are approximately 80 nucleotides in length. Their secondary structure includes four short double-helical elements and three loops (D, anti-codon, and T loops).
Source: Rfam by way of RNAcentral
GGAGAGAUAGCCAAGUUGGUGUAGUUCUCUAAAUUGAACUAUUGAGGGUGCGAUUCCCUCUCUCUCCC